Bos taurus (domestic cattle) is the source of this 2478-nucleotide long non-coding RNA. The record is from Ensembl. Lineage: Eukaryota; Metazoa; Chordata; Mammalia; Artiodactyla; Bovidae.
GCAAUGUGGAGUGUCGGCGUGGCUGUGAAAUCCCGGCAAGACUCAUGUGACUGCUUCUGGGAGUACACAUUGGUACAACCAGCUCAGGAGACUGUUUGGCAAUAAACACAGGCCCACCUCUGACCCACAUCCCCACUCAUGGCAAUGACCCCAGGUUAAUGAGUGCAUGUAUGCGGUGAGCACACGGAGACGGUUCCAGUUCCCCACAGCAGCCCUGCCUGUAAUGCCAACAGCUGAAAACAACCAAAAUGAACAGGAGAAUCAACAUGAGAACCGUGGUGUGUUACAACUGCUACAGAGCAAUGAAAAGAAACAAACCACGAUUACACCAAUGAGGAUGAGGCUCCCAGACUUAAUGCUACCAUUUGUCAAACCGACUACGUGGCAAGCACUGUGCCAAAAACUGGUCUUUGAAGUAAUUAUUCCACAAGUACAGACUGAACAUGAACGUGGGGCGAACACUUCACAAGGCACAGGGUAUCUCCUCAUCACUCACUGUCCCGUGAAGCUCACAUCUUCUUAGAGGAACAGAGUAAGAGCUAUGGAGAAGAGCAGCAUGGAGGUAGCGAUAAACCACUUGCUGGAAAUUACACAGAAGCGUGGAUUUUUUGGGUGUCUCUCAUGGGCCCUGCCUGGCAACACGGUAGAUGGUAGCAAACAUCAGUCCAGUGAACGAAUACCACUGGAUACUCACAAGAUCCUAUAAGGUACCUGCUGAUACAAACAGCUGCGGUGAGGCUGAGCACCAGGCCCACGUCGCAGGAGGCAUGGAGGGUGGCACCCAUGCACACCCUCCAGGGUAGAGCGCUCUCUCCCCUAAGGCUCAGUCGCUGCCACCGCCCUUCCCUUGUGCCACCACGUGGAUUUAAAACCCACGCGGCCACCCGGCUCCUGCCCCUCUUCCGCCAUUGGGCAAGGCCGCCCGCACUUGUGUCCAAUCGAAUAGGGGCCCCCAGAAUGCAAACUUGGGAUUGGCUCGUCCGCUGUGUCAUUUCGUGCUGCUUCUGACGUCAGCGGUGUCUGGCACCCCCGCCUCUUCCGCGUCUUAACUGGAGUUAAAGGAGCCGCACGGGAGAAGACGUGCAUGUUGCUUCAGAGGCACUUUCAAGUAACCUUUAAAUGUUUUUUUAAAAAUAACGUUAAUUGUAAAAAAUACAGCAAACCAUAUAAGAGAAAUGUUAAUUUCACUUAAUCCAUUACAUAAAACUAGCUGCUGUUAACAUUUUGGCAUGUAUCAUUUAGUCUUUUUUCCUAAUAAUAUAAUUUUAUUUGUACAAAACUGGGAUCAGUUUUGAAGCCCAUUUUAAAAUUUACUUUAAAAGAAGUCCAAGAAGGGCUUCUUUCUAUAUUGUCAAAUAAUCUUUGAAAGCAUGUUUUAAACAGUUGUGUUAUAUUUGAUCUUCCUGAUUCAACCAAUCCCUUAUAUUUUUUUCUUAAUUUCAUUGAAUUUUGCUUUUCCAAAUGAAAAUAAAUAGGAUCAAGUUCUCUGAUUAUUUCCUUAAAAUAUGUUGUAGAAAUGGAAUCAGAGGGUGAGGACAUUCAUCCUUUAAGGCCUGAUGCAUAUUGCAAAAUUGUCUUGCAUACAUUCAUUCAGCAGGUAUGUACUGAGCCAUCAUACCUGCCAGUUCCUGCUGUGGAUACAGCAAAGAACAAGACAUACGUAACCCAUACCUCUUUCAAAAGUACUGUGCCAGUUUCAUCACCUCUGAAGCCAGCAUUGUGUUCCUAAGCCAUGUGUCUGAGCCCAGGGCUCCCUGUGCAGAGGGGAAGAGGUUCUGUCUCCAGCUCCAGCACAGGGUCUGCAAACGGAAGGUUUAGAGCAUUUUCUGGGUGCCACAUCCUUGGGUGGUGGGGGCCUGUUGGGGUAUAAUGAUGCCCCAUUCCUCUGGAUUCCAACGGUUCCUGUCUGGUGUUCUGGAGGUCUUGGGGACCUCUGAGUGUCCCUUCCUGGGACCAAACAUGGAGGACGUGCAGGGACAGUCCAGCGAGAGACACUGAACAAAGCAACUCACAAAUUCAUUUAAAAAUUACAAUUUGGGCUAACUUCUCCAAAGGGAAGGAGGGUAUUCUAGGGUUCACUGGGGUUUUGUAUGGAACAGGGAGUUCCUGCAGCGCAGAGCAUGAAGUAAUAACAACAAUUAACUUUGGGGGACUUCCCUGGCAGUCCAGGGGUUAAGACUUUGCCUUCCAAUGCAAGGGGUAUGGGUAUGAUCCCUGGUUGGGGAGCUAAGAUCCCACAUGCCUCAUGGCCAACCCCCCCCCCCCACCCUCCAAAUCAUAAAACAGAAGCAAUAUUGUAAGAAAAUCUCAAUAAAGACAAAAAAAUGGCCCACAUUAAAAAAAUAAUAAUAAACUUUUUUCAAGAGCCUCUUCCCAGCCAAGCCUGGGAGUUUUCAUAUUUAAUCCUCCCAAUAGUGUUAUAAGUUCCUUGAUGGUCUCCAUUUUAAAGGUGAGGAAACUGACGCCUGGAUUCAUUAA